GGCUGAGGUUGGGGGCCCGGUCUCCCCCAGAAGGGAGGCACAUGGCCAGGUCUGCCUGAACAGCCGGCCCUGGGCUGAAGUGGGGAACAGUCAGCUGGCGGUAGGAUCCGAGUGGGGGGCCACUCAGCAGGCAGCGAGGCAGUCCUGUGGAAGCAGAGCUUGGGGAGUCCAGGAGGGGGUCCGAUGUGGACCCAGGCAGACGGGUGCUGUGGGCCAAGCUCGCUGUAGAAGAGGUUCCCCUGAUGUGGGAGCUGUGGGCUCUCCAAGAGCCACACUCAGAGACACCCACGCUGUCCUCAGGCUCCUUGCUCCUUGUAAGAACAAGGGAGGUAUCUCGAACUCGUCACUGAGCCCUAAAUAGAGCAGCCCAACCGCACCCUCCCCAAGACUUCUUGGACAGGAUGGCAGCACGAGGCCAGCAGCAAGUGCCUGGGCUGGGCCGGGCCAGGCGGCCUGGGCAGGUGGGGAGGCCUCUGCUCUCUGUGCCCCCAUUGGUCUAAGGAAGUCUCCAUGCCCUUUCUGAGCAGGGGCCCAGCCUGGGGGAGGCCAUUUAUACCCCUCCCCCGGGCCCACCAGCCUACUCUCCACUGCCGGCCUGACCUCGCUCCCAGCCCUGCUGGCCCGGCUCUAGGCUCCGAGCUCAAGACCUCAGGAUGGGGGAGUAAGUGGCACCAGGGCAGGGCCCCUGCUGCCCCCCACCCGGCCCUCACAUGUCCCCAGCAGCAGCCCCUGACCACCCUGGCCCCUCUCAUGCCCACACUCUGCCAGCAGGGCCCUAACCUCUCUCUUUUCUCCCCCUCCCCCCUUCCUUUCUCCUGGGACAGUGAGGAGGUGAGUACCCCCUGGGGGGGCUGAAACCUGGAGGGAAUGACCCUCCCCCUCAGAAUGGUCAGAGGGCAGAGCCUGAAGGCUCUGAGGCCCAAGGAAGACCCUCCCCACGGAAAGGGCCCCGCCCACGGAGGCACUGAAGAAAGAGAGGAAGUGGCGGCCUGCCGCCCUAGGGGCAGGGGAAGUGGGCCGGGCCUGGACACCCAGAAUCACUUCUUCUUUCUAAUUUCUGCACCCCACACACCUUCCCAGCCUCCCUG
RNAcentral lists this long non-coding RNA (1088 nucleotides) under Marmota marmota marmota (Alpine marmot). RNAcentral describes it as "lncRNA (ENSMMMG00000002243.1)". The record is from RNAcentral. Lineage: Eukaryota; Metazoa; Chordata; Mammalia; Rodentia; Sciuridae.